UUUCUUAUAAAAAAUAAAUAAUUUUAGAAAAUAUAAAAUUAGAUUAUAUUUAUGAAAAAUAGAUGUCAAGUUAAUUGAAUAAUUUAAGCAUCAAAAUAAUAAAAAAUUAAUGAACAAUUUAAUACAUAUUUUUUUUAAUUUUUUAGGUACAAAAUCAGAGCAAAAAUCAAGCCAAAAUAUCUCAAAAAAUAUUUAAAAUAGCUU
This 204-nucleotide long non-coding RNA is filed under the name Elaeis guineensis (African oil palm). RNAcentral's name for it is "long non-coding RNA (EGUI_LNC073796)". Lineage: Eukaryota; Viridiplantae; Streptophyta; Magnoliopsida; Arecales; Arecaceae. The record is from RNAcentral.